AUGUCGACACCGACAUUGCACUCUUCCAAGGUGAGCUCUACGUGGUCCUCACCAAUAAUUAAACACAACAAGAGUGGCUCUGAACUGCCGGAGCUCCAUCGCCUGGAAAUCGGCGACGAGCAGAACCGCGUCAGAAACGGCGUGGACCGAACCUGGCGCUCCGUCUUCUACCUCGUCGCGUGCGGCGAGCGGCUGCUAAUGGUGGAAAGGCGGACCCUCGUUGAGCGCUUCGUGGUCUGGGAGGGUGGCGUCCGAGAACGCGGUUCGAGGCCCAUACGGACCCAGCUCGAGGCCUGGGAGGGGGUGGACCUGAUCGGCGGCCAUGGGCAUUGGAGCGAGGUGGAUACGUUGAUGGGGCAUGCGCUCUUCGUCAGCCGAGGCUGCUCUCAGUCGCUCCCGGCUGACGAAGCGCGCAUGCCCCAUCAACGUAUCCACCUUGCUCCAACGCCCAUGGCCGCCGCCGAUCAGGUUCACCGCCUCCCAGACCUCGAACUGGGUUCGCAUCCCGCAGGUAAGGGUGCCUCCUCAACGGUCUGCCUCUCCACCAUUAGCAGCCGACCGCCGCACCCGACGAGGUAG
RNAcentral lists this ribosomal RNA (579 nucleotides) under Triticum aestivum (bread wheat). RNAcentral's name for it is "partial small subunit ribosomal RNA". Lineage: Eukaryota; Viridiplantae; Streptophyta; Magnoliopsida; Poales; Poaceae. The record is from RNAcentral.